Molecule: ribosomal RNA, 253 nt
Filed under: uncultured bacterium
Lineage: Bacteria
Description: partial 16S ribosomal RNA
Rfam family: Bacterial small subunit ribosomal RNA
Source: RNAcentral
UACGUAGGGUGCAAGCGUUAAUCGGAAUUACUGGGCGUAAAGCGUGCGCAGGCGGUUUUGUAAGUCUGUUGUGAAAUCCCCGGGCUUAACCUGGGAAUUGCGAUGGAGACUGCAAGGCUGGAGUCUGGCAGAGGGGGGUAGAAUUCCACGUGUAGCAGUGAAAUGCGUAGAGAUGUGGAGGAACACCGAUGGCGAAGGCAGCCCCCUGGGUCAAGAUUGACGCUCAUGCACGAAAGCGUGGGGAGCAAACAGG